AGGAAAUGGAAAGAUCUGAGCCCUUCUAGGCAACGGAAACACUGUUAGGAAAACAAGAAACAUGAUACCCAGAGGAAGCACUACGCAGAUCUUCAAUUAGCUCUGAGAGUCUUGCUUCAGAUUGCGUGGACCCUAACAGCUAAUGCUGGAUGAGCGGAGAAGGAUGUCCUAGGGGUAGAGAACAGGAGCAGGAGUCAGAAAAUCUGGGUGCUGUCUUACAGAUUUCCUGGGUAGUGUUGGCCAAAUCACUUCCCGUCUCUGUGUGCCUCAGUUUCCUCACCUCUACCGUGAGAACAAUACAUUCUCUACUUUACCAGCGUGCUGUGAGGGUAGGGAUAAUUGAGAAGAAUGAGCUUGAAGAACAAUGCUGGGCUGUCCUAAUCCCCCUGGACCUCUCUGCAGCAUUCAACACUGUCGACCAUGAGAUCCUGAUGUUUCUCCUGAGAGAGGUGGCAGGGUGCGCAAAAAAGGUUCUGAGUCUUUCCCGGAGGGAUGCACCCCAAGAGUAGUGAUGGGAAACUGAACCUCUGCGACUGGACCCUUCGCUUGUGGAGUCUCCCAAUUCUCGCUCCAGUCCUUUCCAACAUCAACAUGCAGCCAAUGGAUGAACUGUUCAGUCAAUAUGGACUCAAGGGCCAGCAACAUGCAGAUGACACACAGCUCUACCUAUCCUUCGCCACAUACAACCACACUGCUGCCACCAAGAUGGCCCAGUGCUUGGAUGAGAUCGGCUCAUGGAUGAAGAACAGUUGGCUGAAGCUGAAUCCGAGAAAGGCAGAGGUAAUGCUGGUGGGCAGAGGAGAGCAUUUUGAAGAGUCUGCAGCCAUGGUGCAGUCUCUGCUGGUUGAAGGGUAUACACCGACAAUUCGUCAAUUCAGUCUGCAGUUGAGGAGUGCUCACAUAGCAGAAUCCACAAGUAAUGCUUUCUACCAUCUCCAGUUGGCCAGAAGACUCUGUCCCAUCCUGGUGGAUGAUGACUUGGCCUCAAUCAUUCAUGCCACUUCUUAGCUGGACUAGAGCAAUGUGAUAUACCCGGGCAUGAAGCUUUCAGCACAUAGGAAACACCAGCUAGUAUAGGACACCACAGCUCACCUCCUCAGCAACACAAGCUACCGCGAACACAACAGACGUGUCAUUUACUACCUACAUUGGCUUCCCAUAGAAUUUUGCAUCAAGUUCAAGGCCACAAUUCUUAUCUGUAAGGCACCCAUGACCUAAAACCAGUGCAUCUAAAAGAGCGUAAGACUUUUGGGUGAAGACCAUGGCCAACACAUUUGCUCCACUGGCACAAUGGAAUUCUCGUCAGUAAGGAUAAAACUCAUCUGAGCGGGAGACAGAGUUUUCUCAAGGGCUGGGCCAAGUCAGUGUAAUGACCACCCACCCUGCCAGGAACUAAGGACAAUCAUGAAGCUCACCACUUUCUGCUCAAAGUGCAAGGCACAUUUCUUUGACCUUGACUUCUCUAACAGCAACACAUAUGUUAAAAAACUGCCCAAAAUACCCCAGCAAAACAAUACACUCCACUUCAUACAUUUCUCACUCCAAGGAGUGGAGGAGAGAACAAAGGCAGAAAAACACAUGACAGAUGUUAGUCAUGUUGCUUAAUGCACUGCUGGAGAGUGCUCAUAUUCUACAAUGAUGAGCAUGGUAUAAGAAAUUGCACAGAAUAAAAUAGAAGCCAAUGGACUAUUAGAGUCAUCUGACAGAAGAGCUUUGACGAUGACUAUCCAAAAUUUAACUGUUCAUCUCAUAGGAUAAUGCUUUUUCCAUCAUUACUGUACUUUGUUCCUUGCUUCCAAUCUCUUCUCAAGUCUUGUAUAGUAAGAAAGUUUAAUUUUCAUUAUUAUUCUUCUGUACUAACUGGAGGUUCCAAUCAGGAUUGGGCUCACUUUUGUGCUAGGUACAGUACACAUCUGUACAUUAGAGCCUCUCUCCUAAUUUCUAUCUCUCUCUCUUUCACUCACACACACACACACACACUUCAGAUCAGGAGUCACUCAAUGAGUGGUACUUGAGACAUUAAGCUUUAAGACUGGGGCAAAACCCAUGACUUCAAACCAAGCUGCUUUGAAAUUUCAAAAGGUUCCAACCAAUCUCCAGUUCCAGACCUGUUCCUCUGGUUUUCAUUCAGGCUUGAAUCCUGAACUAAAACUGGACUUUGCUGGGAGCUUAUAGAAACAGCUUUCUCACAAGAUUUUUGUCCUAAGCUAAUAAAUUCUACAAGAGCAGCUGAUCUUGUGAGAUUCUCACCACUUCAGUGCUGGAUUUCCUGGGUGUCCCCCCCCCCCCCCCCACAAUCCCCCAGUGGUCAACUAGUUACGUACAACUAGUGUUGACAAUUUAGUUGUUUUCCACUCCCCCCCUCCCCGUAAAUUUGAACACCCCACCUCUAAUUUCAAUUAUUGGGGAAAACACUUGGAUCAAAUCCGAACCCAAAGUCUAGCUUUGAUAUGUUUAGACCUUAAACCUGAAUCACACCGUAAAUACAGACCUAGAGUCACACAACCUCCUCCACCCAUCUCUACAGCUUUCAGUCUAUACAACUACUUUGCUUUUCAGAGUAAUAUCCAUUAAUGUCGGCCACAUGGUUGAGUGAAACCAAACGGAGAGUCCUAAAGCAUCACAUCAAAGCAUGGGCAUAAGCAUUGCAUCCCAUAGUCCAAUGGUGAACACUUCACACUUUCUGAUGGAAUCAUUAUAUACUUAAUUUAAGUAAUUAUUGGUGAAAUUCUCCUAGGUAUGGAGGCACUACUCAAGAAUCUCCUCAUCAAUUAAACUCCAAGGUAAGGCAAUGUAGGGAGUAGCUAUAUGUGUAGAAUGACAUUGUUAUGCUGGAGUGUCUCCAUGCUGGGCAGCUGCAGGGGAGCCCUGGAAUCUGGCUUUAUUUGAGUCCGAGUAGCCCAAAAGCCCCAUAUAGGGUGUACAGAAGGGCAAUAGCCAAUGUUUUAGCCCAAAGCUGUGUCCCCACGUAGUUGCUGUCACAAAGCUAGCUUUCUUACGCUUCCUGUGGUUAAUUUUACCCCUUAUAACUUGCAAGUGAGACUAACACUCAAAGUUACGCUCAUCUGAGAGCACACCCGUUUCGUACAAUUUCAGGGAACCUUCUGGCAAACAGAAAGUAUGGCUCUUGUUCCGAAACCUCAAACCAGCCAAAACUUACCUAGCUGUGGAUUUCACUACAAAAAUGUUUCACACAAUGCCAGUCGUAACAUCAGCUGCAGUUAACAUGUUUCAUAUGGGUCCAAGCUGCGAAGGACUGGACCGUCCCUAAAAUUCAAAGAGGUUUAUGAGUCCAGAGAUACAGGCCCUUCUCUAUUUAUACUAGAAAAAAACCCUACUGGGGUGUACUUUUCAGCAAUGAGCCUAAAUCAACCCCCUGGCUCUGAACAAAAUUCACAUCCAGCUGUGGAUCCAAACACUUGAGACCGUUUCUGUUGGAAUGCCAACAACUGCGCCUACUUAAGUCACUUAAUAGAUUACCACCCCCAACUCAGGUCACAAUAAUUUGCCUCAUAGCGUAAAUUUACCCUUGACCCUGUUAGACUAAGGGGUGUAGAUCGGGGAGAAUUUUGCCUUGGAGACAACAAUAGGCAGUAGAAAUAGAAAAUAUGUUAGUUUUAAAGAAGAGUAAUAAGAAAGAUAAAUCUCCAGACCCUCUAUAAAUAAUCUGGACCAGAAAAAUACACAAGAUGUGUCAUAGAAUGGUAGCAUGUUAAGAACGGGGAAAGUUUCUAAAAUUAAUUUCGUUCAUUUUAGUUUAUUAAAAUUGCUUUCAUUUAUCUCU
Molecule: long non-coding RNA, 3784 nt
Organism: Chelonia mydas (Green sea turtle)
Lineage: Eukaryota; Metazoa; Chordata; Testudines; Cheloniidae
Exons: 2
Source: RefSeq, a predicted model, not a curated record